RNAcentral lists this ribosomal RNA (528 nucleotides) under uncultured bacterium. RNAcentral's name for it is "partial 16S ribosomal RNA". It matches the Rfam family "Bacterial small subunit ribosomal RNA", at positions 355 to 893 of the family's 1533-position model. The record is from RNAcentral.
UGGGGAAUAUUGCACAAUGGGCGAAAGCCUGAUGCAGCAACGCCGCGUGAGGGACGACGGCCUUCGGGUUGUAAACCUCUUUUAGCAAGGAAGAAGCGAAAGUGACGGUACUUGCAGAAAAAGCGCCGGCUAACUACGUGCCAGCAGCCGCGGUAAUACGUAGGGCGCAAGCGUUAUCCGGAAUUAUUGGGCGUAAAGAGCUCGUAGGCGGUUUGUCGCGUCUGCUGUGAAAACCCGAGGCUCAACCUCGGGCCUGCAGUGGGUACGGGCAGACUAGAGUGCGGUAGGGGAGAUUGGAACUCCUGGUGUAGCGGUGGAAUGCGCAGAUAUCAGGAAGAACACCGAUGGCGAAGGCAGAUCUCUGGGCCGUAACUGACGCUGAGGAGCGAAACGGGUGGGGAGCAAACAGGCUUAGAUACCCUGGUAGUCCACCCGUAAACGUUGGGAACUAGUUGUGGGGUCCAUUCCACGGAUUCCGUGACGCAGCUAACGCAUUAAGUUCCCCGCCUGGGGAGUACGGCCGCAAGG